UAGCGCCGUAUACGAGACCCGUAUGUACGGUGCAACGGGAGGGGCAAAGAAUUAUUUUCUUUCCUCUACCCUAU
RNAcentral lists this non-coding RNA (74 nucleotides) under Anaeroplasma bactoclasticum. The record is from RNAcentral. Lineage: Bacteria; Bacillati; Mycoplasmatota; Mollicutes; Anaeroplasmatales; Anaeroplasmataceae.